AAUUCCAGCUCCAAUAGUGUAUAUUAGAGUUGUUGCAGUUAAAAAGCUCGUAGUUGGAUUUCUGUCGUGGUCAUCCGGCGCCGCCCGUAUGGGUGCGCACCUGGUUUGCCCGCGGCUUUCUUCCGGUUAUCCUUCCGCGCUUAAUUGCGUGUGUUGGUGUUCCGGAACUUUUACUUUGAGAAAAAUAGAGUGUUUCAAGCAGGCUUGUCGCCCUGAAUACUUCAGCAUGGAAUAAUAAGAUAGGACCUUGGUUCUAUUUUGUUGGUUUCUAGGACCAAGGUAAUGGUUAAUAGGGACAGUUGGGGGCAUUCGUAUUUAACUGUCAGAGGUGAAAUUCUUAGAUUUGUUAAAGACGAACUACUGCGAAAGCAUUUGCCAAGGAUGUUUUCAUUAAUCAAGAACGACAGUAGGGGGUUUGAAGACGAUUAGAUACCGUCGUAAUCUCUACCAUAAACUAUGCCGACUAGAGAUAGGGAAACGCCUACCUUGGCUUCUCCUG
This 499-nucleotide ribosomal RNA is filed under the name Eimeria alabamensis. Its description in RNAcentral is "SSU rRNA". It matches the Rfam family "Eukaryotic small subunit ribosomal RNA", at positions 581 to 1083 of the family's 1831-position model. The record is from RNAcentral. Lineage: Eukaryota; Apicomplexa; Conoidasida; Eucoccidiorida; Eimeriidae.